UAUCACUAAGCGGAGGAAAAGAAACUAACCAGGAUUCCCCCAGUAGCGGCGAGUGAAGCGGGAAGAGCCCAUCGCCGAAUCCCCGAGCCCGACCGGGCCCGGGGAGCUGUGGCGUGAGGCGGCUUCGGGCACGCGAGGUUCCGGCGCCGAGGUCCUCCUGAUAGGGGCGCCUUUUACCCAGAGCGGGUGUCAGGCCCGUUCGGGCCCCGGACCUCUCGGGCCUGGAGUCACCAAGAGUCGGGUAGUUUUGGAAUGCUGCCCAAAGAGGGGUGGUGAACUCCAUCCAAGGCUAAAUACUGGCACGAGACCGAUAGCAGACAAGUACCGUGAGGGAAAGUUGAAAAGCACUUUGGAAAGAGAGUUCCCGUCUUGAAACACGGACCAAGGAGUCUAACGGGCCCGCGAGUCAAGGGGCCUUUACGAAACCCCACGGCGCAAUGAAGGUGUAGGUCGGCUCGGUCGGCCGAGGUGGGAUCCCGCCCCGCGAGGGGCGGGCGCACCACCGCCCCGCCAUGUCCGCUUUGCUCGGUGUGGCGGAGGCAGAGCGGGCACGCUAGGACCCGAAAGAUGGUGAACUAUGCCCGAGCAGGACGAAGCCAGAGGAAACUCUGGUGGAGGUCCGCAGCGAUUCUGACGUGCAAAUCGAUCGUCCGACUUGGGUAUAGGGGCGAAAGACUAAUCGAACCAUCUAGUAGCUGGUUCCCUCCGAAGUUU
Molecule: ribosomal RNA, 714 nt
Filed under: Coelopleurus floridanus
Lineage: Eukaryota; Metazoa; Echinodermata; Echinoidea; Arbacioida; Arbaciidae
Description: eukaryotic LSU rRNA
Rfam family: Eukaryotic large subunit ribosomal RNA
Source: RNAcentral